GCCCCAAAGCUAGCCAAAACCUAUAUUUAAAUAUACAAUAAUAAAUAAUUAUACAUAACCCUAAAACCAAACACUAAACCAUUUUUCCAUCCUAGUAUUGGAGAAAGAAAAGAUACAUCUGAGCAAUAGAGAAAGUACCGCAAGGGAAUGCUGAAAAAGAAAAUGAAAUAAAACAUCAAAGCAUAAAAAAGCAGAGAUUAUUCCUCGUACCUUUCGCAUCAUGAUCUAGCUAGUAAAACCAGGCAAAGAGUCCUUUAGUCUGAAACCCCGAAACUAGACGAGCUACUCCGAGACAGCCUAUUAAGGGCACACCCGUCUCUGUGGCAAAAGAGUGGGAAGAGCUCCGAGUAGAGGUGACAAGCCUAACGAGCCUAGUUAUAGCUGGUUGCUUAGAAAAUGAAUAUUAGUUCAGCCCUAUAAUCUUCUUUAAAUCAAAUUCAUAAGAACUAAAGAAUAAAAGCUAAUUAUAGGAGUUAGUUAAAGGAGGUACAGCUCCUUUAAAAAAGGAUACAACCUUAAAGAAAGAGUAAGGAUCAUAUUAAUUUAGGUACCCUAUUAAAGUGGGCCUAAAAGCAGCCAUCAAAACAGAAAGCGUUAUAGCUCAAACAGGUACUUAACCAAUUAUACCGAUAACCCGUCCAACCUCUUCACCCUUACUAAGCUAUUCUACCUACUAAUAGAAGUAAUAAUGCUAGAAUGAGUAAUAAGAAGACACGAUCUUCUCCCAGCACACGUGUAAACCAGAUCGGACCCCCCACUGGUAUAUAAAGAACACAACCAAAGAGUGAACCGCAAAAUACAAAAUAACCAAGAAAAACCUGCACCACCAAUCGUUAACCCAACACAGGAGUGCUUAUUAGGGAAAGACUAAAUAAAAAAGAAGGAACUCGGCAACCAAGGCCCCGCCUGUUUACCAAAAACAUGGCCUUUUGCAAUUAUAGAAUAAAAGGUCCAACCUGCCCAGUGACAUUAGUUUAACGGCCGCGGUAUUUUAACCGUGCUAAGGUAGCGUAAUCACUUGUCUUUUAAAUGAAGACCCGUAUGAAAGGCGUCACGAGGGCCCUACUGUCUCCUUUUUUAAGUCUAUGAAAUUGAUCUACCCGUGCAGAAGCGAGUAUAAACACAUAAGACGAGAAGACCCUGUGGAGCUUAAGAUAAAUAACUAACUGUGCCUAGCAACUCCCAUAAGCAGCAUAUAAGCAUAACAGUCCUAGUUAAAGUAUCUUCGGUUGGGGCGACCAUGGGGGAUAAAAAAGCCUCCAAGAAGAACCAGGGGGUAAGUCCAACCAACCCCUAAGAGCCAAGAGCUACAGCUCAAAGCAACAGAAAAUUCUGACUAAUAAUGACCCGAGCAACGCUCGAUCAACGAACCAAGUUACCCCAGGGAUAACAGCGCAAUCCUUUCCAAGAGCCCAUAUCGCCGAAAGGGUUUACGACCUCGAUGUUGGAUCAGGACAUCCUAGUGGCGAAAAUUCUACUAAGGGUUCGUUUGUUCAACGAUUAAAGUCCUACGUGAUCUGAGUUCAGACCGGAGCAAUCCAGGUCGGUUUCUAUCUAUGUUAUAACCCUUCCUAGUACGAAAGGACCGGAAGGAGUAAGGCCUCUAUUAAAAACAUGCCUUAUCCCCAUCCGAUGCCCCCAACUAAAUCGGCAAAGGGAAAUACCGCCAAGUCAAAGAUAAUGACA
Molecule: ribosomal RNA, 1686 nt
Filed under: Arapaima gigas (arapaima)
Lineage: Eukaryota; Metazoa; Chordata; Actinopteri; Osteoglossiformes; Osteoglossidae
Description: 16S rRNA
Rfam family: Bacterial large subunit ribosomal RNA
Source: RNAcentral